Molecule: long non-coding RNA, 1521 nt
Filed under: Anolis carolinensis (green anole)
Lineage: Eukaryota; Metazoa; Chordata; Lepidosauria; Squamata; Anolidae
Description: lncRNA (ENSACAG00000045048.1)
Source: RNAcentral
AAUUCACCCUGAAUCCAGAGAGCACUCUGAACUCCACCGAUGAUGGAUCUGGACCAAACUUGGCAAAAAGAACCUCAAUGACCAACAGAACAUACUGGAGGGGUUGGGGGUGGUUAAUCCACCUAGGUGGGAGUUAGAGUUCACCCUUCAUCCAGAGAGCCCUCUGAACCCCACCAAUGAUGAAUCUGGACCAUAUUUGGCACACAGACCCAACAUGGCCAACUUUGAAUACAGUUGAGGUUCGGGGUGAUUGACUUUGGAAUACAGGAGUUAUAGUUCACCCGCAUCCAGAGAGCACUGAACCCAGCCGAUAACUGACCUGGACCAAACUUGUCACACAGUCCCAACAUGGCUAAAUUUGAACACUGGCAGGGUUUGGGGUGAUUGACCCACAAUUUUUGGGAAUAGUUCAUCCACAUCCUUAGGCACAUCUUAAUGGGAGCAAUCAUAAAAAAGAAAAGAAGCAAAUAUUGACUUUUUUUCUAAUAAAUAGUGUUACAAAUUACCUAACUGAUAUUACCUAACAUCCAAAAACAGACAAUGCAUUUUUCAAAUAAUCCAGGCAUUGUUGCGUAGCCAAGCCAGAUACACAAACACACACACACACACAAAUAUAUACAUACAUACACACAUACCCAUAGAUGUAUAUGCUUUGGAUAGCAUAGGGAAGGGUGAACACCCCUGUGGAGUUUGUUUUACUGUCUGUGACCUUUUUCAGAAGAUUUUACCUCACUUUCUUCCCCUGGGAUAAUUGGAUUUUGGAAAAAAAAUGGCUUGUUGUGGAAACAAGGAAUGGUGAUCAAGCUCCAGUGAAGACACCUUUACCCCAUGAUAGCUCUUCCAGGAAUGAAUUUCCCCUCAGGAAAACACUUGUGGUGCAUUAAAAGAACAGAAGAAACAGCAGUUAUGACUCCAGUAAGCCUGCUUGAGGGAAAAUAUCAAGCCAGGCACUGCUAUAGUUCUAUGAACAAGACAAAUUAAUCUCAUUGUGUCACGGCACAGUUAAGAUACCAUAAUAUUUGCAAGGAGAAAUUAGCAUUCAUUAAUAAAGUAUGUUGUGUUUAUGAAGGAAUGGAUGUGAUUCCUUUAUAAACAUAAAUGACCUUUUUGGAACAUCCCGGUGGCGAAGUGCAUUAAAGCACUGAGCUGGAGACCGAAAGGUCCCAGGUUCAAAUCCGGGGAGCGGCGUGAGCGGCCGCUGUUAGCUCCAGCUCCUGCCAACCUAGCAGUUUGAAAACAUGCCAAUGUGAGUAGAUCAAUAGGUACUGCUCUGGCGGGAAGGUAACGACGCUCCAUGCAGUCAUGCCAGCCACAUGACCUUGGAGGUGUCUACAGACAACACCGGCUCUUCAGCUUAGAAAUGGAGAUGAGCACCAACCCCCAGAGUCAGACAUGACUGGACUUAACGUCAGGGGAAACUUUUACAUUUACCUUAAUAGUUUUGACACUCAUCCCUUACGAUUUUUCCAAAACACUUUAGAAUCAAAAUGGGGGUCACACAAUUUUAGUUAAGACAAAUGA